This is a long non-coding RNA of Armigeres subalbatus, 793 nucleotides long. RefSeq lists it as uncharacterized. The record is from RefSeq and is a predicted model, not a curated record. The transcript is spliced from 4 exons. Lineage: Eukaryota; Metazoa; Arthropoda; Insecta; Diptera; Culicidae.
UUUGUUUUGGCUUCGUUCGGGUAGUCCGUGAGCAGUUCAUUCAUAAUCCUCCACAUCGGCAUCGAGGGCAUCGAGAUCGACGGUUCUGAGAUCAGAACCGGGUCAACAAAAUUUUCAACCUCGCAAAUCGCUGAGAAACCACCGGAAUAUGGAUUUCUGAAUUCCACUCGGCAAAACUGGGCGAGCAAAUUAAAUAAAUUCUUCGAAAUCGACUGGACGGAUCACAAAAUAUAUUCUACUUCUUACCUAUGAAGAUCGGACCGGAUCAACACUUCGUCGGAAAACGGGUCAAUGCAUCGAAAAUAACAGGUAUGUUCCGCAAUUCCUCGUCACCCGAUUUGCUACCAAUCCGUAGGCACCAGGAUCGUAAAAUUUUGUUACGGUGGAAUCAAACGGAAACGGAUAUGGCAACAGCGCCCGUAGCUUUUCGGUUCAAUAGUAGCACCAAGUAGAGCCAUCCGAACGUACGUAACGACGCACUAAGGGAACAAGCGGGAAUGGCAAUGAGGACGGUAGCAAAGUGGACAUUGCACGAUUGUUCUUCGCUGGCGAGCAAACUAUUCGAAAUAGACUGGCACCGAUUACAGGAUGUUGCUCAGUCACCUACGGGAAAUUGGUUGGAUGAAGAAUUACACGGGCCGAUGAUGGUGGGGAAUAUGUCUGUUCCCUACCGAAUAAGAACAACCGGGAACUGAAAAUAUUGUAAUUCCUUUAGGGAUUUAGGGAAUGAUGAAAGGUACCCAAUUUUCAAUAACCAAUGUAACUAAAAUGAAACAUGAAUAAAAUAAAAAUG